GACGAACGCUGGCGGCGUGCCUAACACAUGCAAGUCGAGCGGAGUCGAUCGACGGAAGCCUUCGGGCGGAAGAUGGUUGACUUAGCGGCGGAUGGGUGAGUAACGCGUGGGCAACCUGCCUCGAAGACCGGGAUAACAGCCCGAAAGGGCUGCUAAUACCGGAUGUGGUCAAAGAUCCGCAUGGAUUUUUGAUUAAAGGGGAAACCCGUUUCGAGAUGGGCCCGCGUCCUAUCAGCUAGUUGGUGAGGUAAAAGCUCACCAAGGCGACGACGGGUAGCCGGCCUGAGAGGGUGACCGGCCACACUGGAACUGAGACACGGUCCAGACUCCUACGGGGGCAGCAGUGGGGAAUCUUCCACAAUGGGCGAAAGCCUGAUGGAGCGACGCCGCGUGAGCGAAGAAGGCCUUCGGUGUAAGCUCUGUCUGGAGGGACGAAGGAAGUGACGGUACCUCCGGAGGAAGCCACGGCUAACUACGUG
This 479-nucleotide ribosomal RNA is filed under the name uncultured bacterium. RNAcentral describes it as "bacterial SSU rRNA". It matches the Rfam family "Bacterial small subunit ribosomal RNA", at positions 28 to 507 of the family's 1533-position model. The record is from RNAcentral.